RNAcentral lists this ribosomal RNA (253 nucleotides) under uncultured bacterium. Its description in RNAcentral is "partial 16S ribosomal RNA". It matches the Rfam family "Bacterial small subunit ribosomal RNA", at positions 524 to 776 of the family's 1533-position model. The record is from RNAcentral.
UACAGAGGGGGCAAGCGUUGUUCGGAAUUACUGGGCGUAAAGGGCGCGUAGGCGGCCUGCUAAGUCGAACGUGAAAUCCCUGGGCUCAACCCAGGAACUGCGUCCGAUACUGGUUGGCUUGAAUCCGGGAGAGGGAUGCGGAAUUCCAGGUGUAGCGGUGAAAUGCGUAGAUAUCUGGAGGAACACCGGUGGCGAAGGCGGCAUCCUGGACCAACACUGACGCUGAGGAGCGAAAGCCAGGGGAGCAAACGGG